GAUGAACGCUAGCGGGAGGCUUAACACAUGCAAGUCGAGGGGUAAAUGGUAGCAAUACUAUGAGACCGGCGGACGGGUGCGUAACGCGUAUGCAACAUACCUUGUGCAGGGGGAUAGCCCGUGGAAACGCGGAUUAAUAUUCCAUAGUCCAGCUAUAUCGCAUGGUAUAGUUGGUAAAGAUUUAUCGGCACAAGUUUGGCAUGCGUCUGAUUAGCUUGUUGGUAGGGUAACGGCCUACCAAGGCUACGAUCAGUAGGGGUUCUGAGAGGAUUAACCCCCACACUGGUACUGAGACACGGACCAGACUCCUACGGGAGCAGCAGUGAGGAAUAUUGGUCAAUGGGCGAAGCCUGAACCAGCCAUCCCGCGUGAAGGAAGACAGCCUUACGGGUUGUAAACUUCUUUUCUGUCAGAAGAAUAAGCUUGUCGAGACGAGUGAUGCCGGUAUGACAGGAAUAAGCAUCGGCUAACUCCGUGCCAGCAGCCGCGGU
RNAcentral lists this ribosomal RNA (491 nucleotides) under uncultured bacterium. RNAcentral describes it as "bacterial SSU rRNA". It matches the Rfam family "Bacterial small subunit ribosomal RNA", at positions 28 to 521 of the family's 1533-position model. The record is from RNAcentral.